UACGUAGGGGGCGAGCGUUGUCCGGAUUUAUUGGGCGUAAAGAGCGUGUAGGCGGCCAGGUAGGUCUGCUGUGAAAACUCGAGGCUCAACCUCGAGACGUCGGCGGAAACCAUCUGGCUAGAGUCCGGAAGAGGAGAGUGGAAUUCCUGGUGUAGCGGUGGAAUGCGCAGAUAUCAGGAAGAACACCCGUGGCGAAGGCGGCUCUCUGGAACGCAACUGACGCUGAGACGCGAAAGCGUGGGGAGCAAACAGG
Molecule: ribosomal RNA, 253 nt
Filed under: uncultured bacterium
Lineage: Bacteria
Description: partial 16S ribosomal RNA
Rfam family: Bacterial small subunit ribosomal RNA
Source: RNAcentral